This 744-nucleotide long non-coding RNA is filed under the name Homo sapiens (human). RNAcentral's name for it is "HSALNT0260312". The record is from RNAcentral. Lineage: Eukaryota; Metazoa; Chordata; Mammalia; Primates; Hominidae.
AUUAUAUAUGGGCCUGCAUACAGUGGAAGAGAAAGAGUAUAUUCCAAUGCAUCCCUGCUGAUCCAGAAUGUCACGCAGGAGGAUGCAGGAUCCUACACCUUACACAUCAUAAAGCGACGCGAUGGGACUGGAGGAGUAACUGGACAUUUCACCUUCACCUUACACCACCCUGCAGACACUCGCUGCAGAGGAAGGACAGUCUGAUGGGGGGACUCAGCAGGAGGAGAUCAGUCUCAGACAAGCACCUCAUGCCCUCUUCAUAAAUUUGACGCUGACAAAGACCCUGGAGAACUGAGUAGGGCUGGCCUGAGGGGCCCCCUGAGAUACUCUCAGAGCAGCUCAGCCCUAGAAGCCUCAACCCCAGACCUCUGUCCCUAAAUCCUUGCUCCAGAUAAAGCUGAGGAGCCUGUGCCAGUGCUGGGUUGUUCCUUCUUGGGCAGGCCUUACUGGGACCAAGAAUUUACCAGCUGUCAGAGGACUGUGUCUCCUGGAGCUGUUCACCAGCCAGGGCUCAGCCCUCAGAGCCUCAUCUGGGCAAGGACAGAGCUUUCUUCACCUGACACUCAGAGUGGAGAGGAUAGAAAGACAAGCUUUGUAGGACAUCGGCUUAGGAGAGUCCAUAGAAAGUCUAAUGUCCCCAGAAGCAGAAACAGAAGGAGAAGAUGUACCUGGUAGCAGAUUGUCCACAGGGAUCUGAUGUAAAGGUGUUUUCUCAUGGAAGCAAAUUAAUAAUAAAUGCUGUUU